Molecule: long non-coding RNA, 2387 nt
Organism: Anguilla rostrata (American eel)
Lineage: Eukaryota; Metazoa; Chordata; Actinopteri; Anguilliformes; Anguillidae
Exons: 3
Source: RefSeq, a predicted model, not a curated record
UUGCUAUGCACCUGUGUCUUUCACCUGUUAAUCACCAAGCAGUUUCUGGUGGGGCUAUUGUCUCGCUCCCUUGAGGAAACAGGUUGCAGAGACCCACAGGCUACCGCAAUUAAGAGAGAUCCCUGCGGACCCAAAACUUGCAGGAUGGAGCCAUUUCUCAGCCACUGAGCAGGAGUCUCCUCCACAGCUGCUCACGUGUUCUGGAGGCCCCACCCCUCAGCCUGGCAGCCAAUGGAGGCCUCGGUUUUCUGCAGGGAACUUUUAGCGUGUGAAUGUGAAGGCCUGUCGCUGAGAAAGAACAGCGCCUGAUGGUGAUGAUGAUGAUUGUCAUGAGCGAAAGUACAGUAAGGAGCAUGUCUGGGCGCCUGAUGUGCAGCUACAAGCCAGGCACAUGAUGAGAGCAGAGAUGCAGACAGGAGUCAAGCUGAAGGAAAGCACGUCACUGCAGUGUGUGGGCGGGUAGUGAGCUGGCUCCGACCUUCGAUACACCCUGUCAGCAGAAGGCGUCACUCUUCACAGAGGUUAAGUGUUUUCAGAAAGCCGGGUGCCCAGAGAAAGACAUGGCAUCCUGCCCAAGAAAAAAAAAAUGUAGCCACAUGUAUGUCCAUUUACUUUAGAGCUCUAAAGGCAUCUUCAGGGCACCGUUACUUGAAAUUGACUAUGAAGAAAAUGUCCGCCGUGCAGCACUAUUGUGUGAAAUGUCGGCUUCUGAGCACCCAGCAGGCAUUCCUUCUCCUGGCAAAAAUUCUCUACCUUCCUGAUCUGAAAACUCACUCUUCCCCGUAGGUCUGUAGGAGCUCCCAGUGAUAAUCCUGAUUGGCUUAUCUGCUUGAGCAGGCUCCAUUAUCUCAAGAAAAUCAGAGUGUGGUCUCCUAGUGCAUCCUGUGAGAAAGCUGGUGUGUCAGGUGACUCUACCGCCCUCUUCCAGUACUAGUCAUUCCAUGUAAAUAACUUGGUAAUUGACAUUCAUUUGGACCUACCUUCCUUAUUGACAGAACAGUGCAAAAUCUUCCUAGACGUAUUUCCUCCUAGUGAUAUAAACAGAAAGUAAGAUAGAUGCAUCCAUCAGGUGUGCUGUGCCAUUGGGAAGGAUAUAACUUUGCAUCUCAGACUAGUUGGAUAAGAGGUGUGCCUCCUUGCUUGGGUGAAUUUUUCUAAAUACUGUGUGGAUAUAAUACAGUCUGUUUUUUUGUUUUUUCUCUGCCAUUCUCGCUGCAGUGCAGUGACACCUGUAACAAGGGAUUUGUGUUCUCAUCCAAUCAGUGGAGCUAAUUAAGUAAUAAAGGGCCAGGUCAAAUGGUCACCGCGGCUCUAAGGCUACUAUAAUCAUGUGAAUGUGUGAGGAGGUUUGUGUGUCCUUUCAGACAGAGCAGAGAGAGGCUUCAGGCAUACAUGUAUCCAGCCCAGCUCACACAUUCAAAAACACGAUGUUGCAGCAUUACAUUUGCACUGUGAUCCCCAAAAUGGUGGAACGGUUUACAUAUAAAACAGACUGUAGUUCCUACACGGAUCACCCAAUAUAGAUGUAAACAACCUCAAAUUAAUGCUGACAGUCUGUCAGUACUUAAGCCUCAUGUUCAUUGUUUCAUUUCAAAUCAAAAUGUGCUGGAGUGCAGAGGAAAAAAACAACAAAAAUUGUGUCGCUGUCCAAAUACUUACGGGCUGCAUAUCACCUUUCCCUGUUGGUUCCUGCUUUUUAUGUUCAACCUUUGUUUUAUGUGCUCUGUCGUAUAUUAUGCUUUGUAGCCUCAGAGGGAAUACGUGCUCGUAGCUCACGUCUCUGACUGCAGGGAGGAAGAGCGACAAGCAGAGCACCGUAAGACCGUGUCACCCUGCCCAUCGAGAGCAUGCUGACAUAGACUGCAGUGGCACACACCCUCUGCAUACUGAUGAGGGACUCCUGCUCGGGGCAGAGCGGAGAGCCCUUUCGCAUGAAGGGAGAAGGCCCCCCUUCCCUCAGAAUCCACCCUGUCUGCGUGUGAAAAUAAUGACUUCAAAAUACACCUGAUUAUCUACCAGAUGAUAGAUUAUCCGUCAGAAUCCGCACCGUUUGUAUAUGAACAAAUUUAGGUGCGCUGCAGGCUGGGGCAAUCAGUGGACUGAAUAAGGGAUUGGAAAAAUGUAACCAGUUAUGGGAGAGGAUGUAUCGGUGUCUUUGUUUUUCCUCCUGAGGAAUUAACCUUGGGACAAGCCUCGUGGCCGCAGAUGGUUUCUUACACAAGUUGUGUGAUGAGGUGCAAUUCAAAAUGUCAUUUCUGAACCUGUGACACUGCUUUGUUCUCACUGAGCUUGCGUCUGGUUAUCCUUAUAUAUGACUUCUCAGCCUUUGUUUCAAUGUAGACCAGCUAUUUGCAGUUUAAACACAGCUGAAUAAAAAGCUGAAUAUA